AAAUAUUGGUAAGGACCGGGUAAUCUGCAUCCUGAGGUUUAGAUCUACAUGUAAUACUUGUUGCAUCUAGCCCUCGGGAGUGCAGAUUACCUCUUCCUCACUGGCAAUACA
This 111-nucleotide microRNA precursor is filed under the name Theobroma cacao (cacao). RNAcentral's name for it is "miR2111 stem-loop (tcc-MIR2111)". The record is from miRBase by way of RNAcentral. Lineage: Eukaryota; Viridiplantae; Streptophyta; Magnoliopsida; Malvales; Malvaceae.